RNAcentral lists this ribosomal RNA (253 nucleotides) under uncultured bacterium. RNAcentral's name for it is "partial 16S ribosomal RNA". It matches the Rfam family "Bacterial small subunit ribosomal RNA", at positions 524 to 776 of the family's 1533-position model. The record is from RNAcentral.
UACGGAGGGUGCAAGCGUUAUCCGGAUUCACUGGGUUUAAAGGGUGCGUAGGUGGGCUGGUAAGUCAGUGGUGAAAUCUCCAGGCUUAACUUGGAAACUGCCAUUGAUACUAUCAGUCUUGAAUACCGUGGAGGUCAGCGGAAUAUGUCAUGUAGCGGUGAAAUGCUUAGAUAUGACAUAGAACACCAAUUGCGAAGGCAGCUCACUACACGAAUAUUGACACUGAGGCACGAAAGCGUGGGGAUCAAACAGG